UAAUAAGUGUUUUAUGGCACUUUUAAAAAUCCAUAUCCACCUUGUGUGAAAUGUCUGUUGCUCUUUUUUAGGAAAGAGCAGCUCAACAUCAACUCAUAUUUGAUCUACUUUGUCUGAAAAAUAUUAUGAAUAAACUAAUUCAAAAUA
Molecule: unclassified non-coding RNA, 147 nt
Filed under: uncultured Mucoromycotina
Lineage: Eukaryota; Fungi
Description: sequence contains ITS1
Source: RNAcentral